RNAcentral lists this non-coding RNA (23 nucleotides) under Arabidopsis thaliana (thale cress). Lineage: Eukaryota; Viridiplantae; Streptophyta; Magnoliopsida; Brassicales; Brassicaceae. The record is from RNAcentral.
GUCGGUGUAGAUGAUGAUGAUCA